CCUACGGGAGGCUGCAGUGGGGAAUAUUGGACAAUGGGGGAAACCCUGAUCCAGCGACGCCGCGUGAGUGAAGAAGUAUUUCGGUACGUAAAGCUCUAUCAGCAGGAAAGAAAAUGACGGUACCUGACUAAGAAGCCCCGGCUAACUACGUGCCAGCAGCCGCGGUAAUACGUAGGGGGCAAGCGUUAUCCGGAUUUACUGGGUGUAAAGGGAUCUUAGACGGUAAUGCAAGUCUGGAGUUAAAGGCGGGGGCCCAACCCCCGGACUGCGCUGGAAACUGUGUAACUGGAGUGCAGGAGAGGCAGGCGGAAUUCCUAGUGUAGCGGUGAAAGGCGUAGAUAUUAGGAGGAACACCAGUGGCGAAGGCGGCCUGCUGGACUGUAACUGACGUUGAGGCUCGAAAGCGUGGGGAGCAAACAGGAUUAGAUACCCGUGUAGUC
RNAcentral lists this ribosomal RNA (440 nucleotides) under uncultured bacterium. RNAcentral describes it as "partial 16S ribosomal RNA". It matches the Rfam family "Bacterial small subunit ribosomal RNA", at positions 338 to 795 of the family's 1533-position model. The record is from RNAcentral.